UGUAAGCGUAUACCAAAGUUGUUGCAGUUAAAACGCUCGUAGUCGGAAUUUGGCAGUUCCGGAAGUGUGCACGUCGUGUGCGCACUUUGCGGGGACUGCUUUUGUGGUCUUGCGUAGGAUGAGGCACUUUCAUUAGUGAACGUCCUCACGCAACCACUCUUUACUGUGAGAAAAUCAGAGUGCUCAAAGCAGGCAUUUGCCGUGAAUGUAUUAGCAUGGAAUAAUAGAAUAGGACUCGGUUCUAUUUUGUUGGUUUGUUGGGACUGAGUAAUGAUUAAGAGGGACAGUUGGGGGCAUUUGUAUUCCGGCGCUAGAGGUGAAAUUCUUAGAUUGCCGGAAGGCAAACUGCUGCGAAAGCGUCUGCCAAGGAUGUUUUCAUUGA
This 382-nucleotide ribosomal RNA is filed under the name uncultured eukaryote. Its description in RNAcentral is "partial 18S ribosomal RNA". It matches the Rfam family "Eukaryotic small subunit ribosomal RNA", at positions 592 to 976 of the family's 1831-position model. The record is from RNAcentral.